RNAcentral lists this ribosomal RNA (115 nucleotides) under Caerostris darwini. The record is from RNAcentral. Lineage: Eukaryota; Metazoa; Arthropoda; Arachnida; Araneae; Araneidae.
AACGGCCAUACCGUGGUGAAUAUACCGGUUCUCGUUAGAUCACCGAAGUCAAGCAUCAUUUUGCCCGGUCAGUACUUGGGUGGGUGACCACCUGGCUCGAACACCGCGUGCCGGA